This 1306-nucleotide long non-coding RNA is filed under the name Cyanistes caeruleus (blue tit). RNAcentral describes it as "lncRNA (ENSCCEG00000010160.1)". Lineage: Eukaryota; Metazoa; Chordata; Aves; Passeriformes; Paridae. The record is from RNAcentral.
CAAGAGAUUAUCCAAGUUAGCAAGCAAUUUAGCAAAUUAGUGUAGAAUUUCAGUAAGCAUCCAGAUUAAAUUAGUGUGGAAUUCUGUAUUAGAACUGUGGUAAGAAAACUUUUUAUAUCCCCAGAGUUUUGACCCUUGGAAGGAUUACCUAUUGUCAUGAGAAUACAGCUAAGACAAUGUUGUGUCCUUGUCAAACAUCUGCAUGAGCAAGGGACAACAGUGGCUCCUGUUAGUGUUCUGUCAUUGGUUUCUAUAUUACUCUGAUUGAAACGCUGUGAUUAACAGGUCUGUGAGUUGAUAUUUCACUGCGUAAAAAACAGGAUGCAUCUGGUAUCACCUGUGCUGAGAUAGGUCUUUGGCAACAGUCUUUUUGUCUUUUUCAGAGGUAAACACAGAUGAAAAUGGAUCACAUGGAUGAAAUUGUCUGUGACACCUGAGUGAGCUAGCUGCAGGUUCUGAAAUCAUCUCUACUGAAGAACGAGAGAGGGGAAAGAUUCAUAUUGAGAUUAAGACAUUGUCUCCCUCUGUCACAAAGGUUGUUAAAUAUUAUUGAUGAAAUGUACUUUUGGAUCCCUCAAAAUAAUGUUAAUUUCAAAUUCCUAAAGCAACUAAAGUUCAUAGUAGGUAUGCAAUAAGCCUGGGGUUUGAGGUGAUAGUUACUUAUUUUCAAACAAGAUAGAUACUCAUAUAUAGACCAGAAUUUACAAUGUGUGAUGUAAUACUUGUGUCUGUAUUGCAUGUCAUUACUGAUGGCAAUGAAACAACUUUGGAUACCUCUGCAGUACAAAGGAAAAAAUUACUAUUAUGCCUUCUAUAGGUGUGUAAUAAGAACAGAUUUCAGAUUUAAAAAUCCCCAAACAAAAUACUCCAACAAACACUCCUAAACUUUUUGGAGACAAUGGACUGAAAACCUGGGAUUUUUCUUACAAAAAUGAGGGAGUUUUAUUUUGUAGAUUCAAGGCUUUAUGGUGAUUUUGAAUCAUAUUUAAAAUAGUCACAUCUUGUGUCCACUGUUAAACAGGACCCCAGAUCAGGAGACAGCUGUGAUACAACAGGCUGCCUGGAAAGAGCUUUAUCUUCAGAGUAUCUACCCUCAAGGGAGAAUAUCUCACACCUGUCACUCAGUCCAGAAUUUAAUGUAAGCUUAAAGAAGGCUUUGGGGAAACCCAUUUGCAGUAAAAGAACCUCCAGGUAUCCAGAGGUUCCUGCUACAAAUGACAGGCUGAUCUACUCGACACCAGGACCUUCAAAGUGUGGUCUGACCAAGCAAACCAAUUCUGAAAGAUCCACGAAGGACAAUGCCUAA